GCAAUAUUACUAACAAAUUAUAAACAUAGACAUACCUUUCGCCGAACAUAACUUCGGCCCCUUGAGACGUAUGCUCAUUCUUGUAUUCUUGAUGAAUGAAGCAGUUAAAAAUAACACGUAUAGUGUUAUUUUCAAGCUUCUAUCUUUAAAACGUGAGUUUUCUUGCCGAAUUUUGCAUUUCUGCCCGAAUUUGCGUUAAUCCCAAACCGGAAAUACGACGAAAAACCGUCAAAACAAUGCGUAGUUUGUAUCGCGUGACUCUGGAAAUGCCAGAAAUGGAUUCUACAGGUCAAAGUGCACCCAUACGCGUGAGUUUGACGUCAUCCCGGCUAAAGGGAGCUCCUUAUUGGCCAAGUAUUACGUAAUACAAGCGCGUGCGAGUAAAACCCGAUACCUUGAAAAAUUCAAAAUAAAUAUUUCUACUC
Non-coding RNA from Paramuricea clavata, 425 nucleotides. Lineage: Eukaryota; Metazoa; Cnidaria; Anthozoa; Malacalcyonacea; Plexauridae. The record is from the annotation of a GenBank genome assembly.